This is an RNA transcript of Helianthus annuus (common sunflower), 5696 nucleotides long. It is a transcript of the gene named NAD-dependent malic enzyme 59 kDa isoform, mitochondrial-like, with no coding region annotated. The transcript is spliced from 11 exons. NCBI's taxonomy places the organism in Eukaryota, Viridiplantae, Streptophyta, Magnoliopsida, Asterales, Asteraceae. The record is from RefSeq and is a predicted model, not a curated record.
ACCCUAAAUACUAAUCCACUACUUCAUCGUUCUUUGCAGAGUCGUGUAAACCACAAAGAUGGAAUCGGAUCCCUUAUGUUCUUUUGUCUCUAUUAUUGAUAUCUUUCACACUUUCCCUUUUUCUCCAAACCCUUGCUGCAUCCGGUUCUUCCUACGGCGAUUCAUCAAUAUUAAUCACAACUAUUCUUCAAUGGUAACACAGAUGAAUCUCCUACCUUUGGAAACUGAUGUCGCACAUUAGGUUGAUCAUAUGGGUUAUGAGAUGGUAAACAAAGAUGUUAUUUCAGGUGUUGACUGGAAUUGGUACAAAAUCCUAUUCUUUUUUAUUUUAUUUACUUUGGUUUUUACCCAAUUUUAUAAUGGCUCUGUUUUCUGUAGCCAAUCAUUUUCGUUGUUCUAUUCGGAUCACAAGUUGACCCAAGUUAAUAACCGAUCAUAAUGAUAUUUUUCGUUUCUUCUAUCCUUUAAUGAUUGGCUUUCUUAUUGGAUAAAGAAUGUUUGUUACCCAAAAAUAUAAAUAAGAUAAAAUUAUGUGUUCUUUAUACAAAAUUUGCCUUUAUAAAAGCAAGUGGUGUUACUUUGGUUUUUACUUUUGGAACAGUUUGUUUUAUUUCUCUUUCAUAUAAUCAUUUGUUUCAAAAAACUUUAUAUAAUGCAUGGGUGACAUUUUCAAAGUUGUGGCAUUCUGUCAUAUCCAAACGACUGCAGUUGCAACAAUUGAAGCACAACUUAAAGUUACACAAGAAACAAGUAAGACUUCUGAAAAUUAACUUCUAUAGAUAUUCUCAAAUCUUGAAAAAUCGAAAGCAGCAGUACAAAACAUUUUUUUUUUGAACGGCUAAGGUUUGAACCUGGGACCUAACCUCUCCUUAAUAGGCAUGUGCCUAUACCAAGUGGACUGCUACACAUUGGCGAUAGUAAAUGCAUGAUUUAAUGACUAAAUAAAUACAUGAAUUAAAGAAAUCUUUGAUUCAUGAAAUUUAGGAAAUCAUCAAAAUCAGACAGCUUAAGCUGGUUUUCCACCAAAGUAGGUUUUUUAAGAAUAGAUCAUAACUUUAUAUUCUUUUAACGAUUUUAUAAAUGAUUUCAUAUUAAGAGAGGCCAUGGGGUAGCUCAGUAUCUUGAUAAAUCGCAGGUAUGUAUUGUAAUGUUGUUGGUUUGUUUUUAGUGUUUUUAUUUGGUUGUUCUAAUGGUUUGUUGUUUGGGUCGGAACAUGUGGAUUGAAUUUGCUCUUUUACAACCCUUUUACAGUUCUUUCAUGUUUCAUUGCAUGAUUCAAUCACCCAUUUUAUUCAAAAAAAAAAUUCUUUUACAACCCUUUAAUUCAAUAGGAUGUUCUUUCAUGUUACAGUUCUUUCAUGUUACAGUUCUUUCAUGUUACAUUGGGUCGGAACAUGUGGAUUGAAUUUGCUUUUACAACCCUUUUACAGUUCUUUCAUGUUACAAAUUGAUCAUGAUGUCGAAACAGUCGAGAGUGUUUUUCAUGUGUAUGUUAAAAAACGUGGUCUGUUAGAGAUGUGAACAUAAAAAGAUAUUUUAAAAGUGGUUUUAUUUGACUCUGUGUCAACAUUUUAUGCAUACAUGUUACAAAACUCAUGUUUGAAUAUUCAACUAAGCGGUCUAAUGUUUGUUCUAAUGCUAUGCUUCUGUUUGGUCAUCUGCCUCGACUGGGUCUGGUCCAGUUUUUUUACCAUGUACUGUGUAGAACCCUAGACGUGAAGACCAACAAUCGUCCUUGGUAUUUUUUAGUUGUAAAUAGUAUUUUGCAAGACACGAGCUACACCGCUCGGUAAGUUUGUUUUGGAAAUUUCAUUAUUUUUGCAAUUAGCUGCAUAAGUUUGUUUUGGAAACAUUUUAGUGUAAUGAUUGGUUCAAAUUGUUUCUCAAAAAUAGAUCACUGAUGAAGAUGUAUAUUGUUUUGUUUUUUUUUUUUUUGAAGUUAUUUGCAUCAAUGAAUAUCGACGAGAAUAUGCGAGUCGUACUGAUUGACUGGCUCAUUUAAGUAACUUCAGCUGGAAACUGUGGUGCUCCAGGGGUAUCUUCAUCAUUUUAGGUUGGGUAAUGAGUUAUCUGUGUGUGCAACAAGACGUUUGGGGUUUCUCAGCCUUUGUUACAUCCACAGUGGUUGCGGCAAGAUUCUCGCCCUGUUCAUUAUUCAUAUAGGCGUUCUGUUUGGUUAUCUGGGCUUGCUGGGUGGAUUUCGGGUUUACUACCGGGACAUACGAGGCUGUGAGGAGACCUGUAUGGGGCGGCUAGGCUGGGAUUUUAAUCAUCUGUUGAAGGCCCGGGCUUGGUCGGAGUUAUGUUUGUUUUGUGCUAUUGAGAUGGAGCCCACUUUAAGCUUUAUGGCCCAGAUUAAUUACAAAAUUUUGAUGCAGGAGGCCGGUUUUGCGGGUGCCAUCCUGGGCUGUCUGGCUAUGCUUAUGGCCGGGCUGAUGAUUGUCAAGAUGAAGACCCACCGCUGGGUUUGCAAAAUGGUGUUCAAGACUCAGAUGCAUGAUGGUGUUGAGAAGCCGCGCAAUAUGGCAAAGGUCAUUAACUCAAGGUGGGUUGGUAGUAGGUGGGCUCGCCAUUUCAAUACUCAAAAGGGUAACUGAAUCAAUUCUUUUGAUUCUUGAUUCAUCCGUAGUGCAAUGUUUUGAGUUGAUGGAGGAUCUUGAAUAGACUACAUGACAGGAAUGGGAAAUUAUACUACAAACUGAUUAACAACAUUAAAGAUAUAGCUCCAAUAAUUUACACUCUUACAGUAGGUUUGGUAUGCCAAAACUAUUCAGGAUUGUUUAGACGCCCACAUGGAAUGUACUUGAGUGCAAAAGAUAAAGGAGAGAUGAUGUCAAUAAUCUAUAACUGGCCAGCUGCUAAGGUAGACAUGGUAAUGCUUACAAUUCAGGUUUUUGUCUACUUGGUUUUCGGAUGGCUUUGGGUCAGUUUUUUUAUCAGAGGUCCUUCCUAUUAUGCUUGAUGUUGGCACCAACAAUGAAAAGCUUCUAAAAGAUCGUCUCUAUUUGGGACUAAGAGAACGAAGGUUCGAAGGAGAAGAAUACAUCUCAAUAGUGGAUGAAUUGAUGGAAGCUCUUCAUACACGUUGUUCGUUUAGGUGGCUCUUGAUUUCUUGGUGUUUUACUAUGAGAUUAUGGAUUUACUUGAAAGGGCCUGUAUACAUAACCUUCCGCCACCACCUAGAUGGUUGCAAUCUAGACGAGACACAUCACCUGGUAAUCUUAACAACACCAUCUAUAAUGUCAUGAAAGGAUAUUAAGUUCAUGGAAAAAAGGAUUGAAGAUCUUUAAAAGAGCUUGAAGAGGAGCAAUGACAAAUAGUUAAAAGUAGAGCAUGAAGUGUGUUUGAAGAUUAAGGUCGCACUAUCUCCUAUCUGCAACACGGUUUUCUUGAAUUGGCCUACCUCAUGUGAUCCACCAAUGCAGAGAUCAUCAGGGUAACUUGAUCUUCAAUCAUGCAGUCAUUAUCAGUUAAAUCUCUUUUCAAUGAACGUAAUUGUUUAGAUGUUGCUCACUAAUGUUCUCCAUUUACUAAUCUUCUUUAAUAUUUGAAUAUAGUUAAUAAAUGACAAACAUAAGCCCUUAUUUGAUCAAUUCUUAGUCUAUGGAAGCUUUGUGUCUUGCUUAUAUUUCGGCUGAUAUCUUUACACCGGCACGAAGUAAUCUCUUACACAUGCGAGCAAAAAAGGUAUACAGAUUAUAUACAUAAUAUAUAGGUGAUUUGAUAUAUACUUUAAUUGUUCAUUAUUUUCCUGUUUUUGUUUUCAUUGGUCACUGUGAUUUUGAACCGGUUCACUUUGGUUGGGAUUAGUAUAUGUUCAGGUCCAAACAAGUUAUUUAACUCAUAGUGGAUAUGGGUAAAAGGGGAUUGCUUUAAAGAAAGAAGCACAAAUUCUCAUAAUUAAAAAGAUCAUAUUGUCGAACGGUUAGGCAUAAGUAGUUUAAACAGGCUUUUAAUAAUUUUAUAGCUAUUAGAAAGUGAGCUUAACUAAGUAAUGUAGCUGAACUAAAACUGUUAAUUUUUAAAAAAAUGUCAAACCGAAUCGGUAUUGAAAAUGUACCCGGUUCGGUAAAUUCGGUACCGAUACCCGAUAUCAUUUGCUCAUCCCUAAGAUGAGGAAUUACCUAUGAUAAAAAAAACUGACCCAAAGCCACCCGAAAACCGAGUACACAAAAACCUGAAUUUCUUGACAUACCCAAACCCGAUUAAAUGUAAAAAAAAAUAUUGAAAACUGACCAUUGUAGUCCUAAACCCAAUUUGGGUUACUUUUGGUUAUUGAAUACAGUUAAAAUGGCACCGGGUAUAUAAGAAGUAAAAAAUGGAACUCAUAGUUUGAGACACCUGGUUAAAAUAAAAAAAGGGAAAAUAAAUUCACUUUUUUGUUUAGAUGGGGCUGGGUUCAGUAAUCGAGUUUAGGUUAGGUUGUUUUUGGUCAUCUUAGUUGCUUACGAUUAAAAACAUAAAAGCAGGUUAAGAUAAAUUAGGGAGAAAGAAACUCAUAGCUUUAGUAAGAAUGUUUGACAUACCCAACCCGAACUCAAUUAUCGAACCCAACCGAAGCGACCAGGAACCUAAGUAAACAAUAAAUAAUCAAUAAUAAGUUGCCUCGAUUUCAUUUUUUAAUCGUAAUCGAUUACCAAAAAAGUUGCCUUGAGUUUUCAAAAGAAUCAAAACUAUUGUUAUGACCGAAUAAUUGUGUCUUACUCUUUAGGUGGUGUUUUUUUUUAUAAAAUUUGCUUCUAACAUCCAACUGUUUCUUACUUUUUUUCUUUAGUUUAUCCGUUUAGUAGAGAUAAUUAAAAAAAGUGUCAAAAAAAUUAUUUAAUGUCUGUGAUUAUAUAUAAUUAUAUUUUAAGCUCUUUAAUAAACUAAAUGUCUUACUUUUAGACUUUAAUUAGCAACUAAAUGUGUAUUGUAAAAUGGCGUAUGGGUUGAACUUGAAUAGAAGAGUUGCUUCAUCAUCCUUUUCAUUAUUUGAAAUUUGAGAGUAAUACGAUUUGCUGUUUGUGCUAAUAAUAGGAAGGAUAGCAGAGGUCCAUUCCAACUUUUGGAUUGGAAUGGUGUUUUGUUUGAAUGUUUAAAGGCUGGAUAGUCACAUCAAACUUCAGUCUAAAAGGAUGGUCUUCUCCUUGCAAAGGAAUCAUCCUUUUAUUAUGGUUGCAAAUAUCUUUUUGUAUGAUUUUAAUUAUAUACAAAUCCUAAAUUAUUUUGGUUGCAAAUAUCUUUUUGUAUGUUUUUAAUUAUGUACUAAAUUUUUUAUUACUAUUUUGUAGUGGCUCUCUGAACACAUCGUAAUUGUUGCCGUUUUAUAGAACAAUUCAAAUAUAACCAUUAAGAUGAUUGGUGGAGGUGAAGGGGAAUUGAAGAUAUCAACAGAAGAAGUGGAUUUAGAUACUACAUGGUUUUUUAAUUUAUUUAUAAUGUGUUUUAUCUUUUAUUUAAUUCUCAUCUACAAUUAUUAUUUGUUGUUUGUUAUAGAUAUAAUGCUGUCAAUUGGGGUGAUGUCAUGAAACAAUGGAGAGUUCCAUGGGGCAAAAUGGUUGUUUUUAAAUGGUCCAAGAGUCAAAAGAUGCUUUGUUUGCAGUAGAUCAAGAAAUUUGAAAUCUCAUAAAAUCGUUGUUACCAAUUUUAAUGUUUAGAAAACAUUAUUAUAUUUUCUUUAGUAAUUGUGGUAGUUUUUUUUAACUAUUUCAACA